Molecule: long non-coding RNA, 1227 nt
Filed under: Nicotiana tabacum (common tobacco)
Lineage: Eukaryota; Viridiplantae; Streptophyta; Magnoliopsida; Solanales; Solanaceae
Description: long non-coding RNA (NTAB_LNC013779)
Source: RNAcentral
UUCUCCUACCUUAUUUGGUAUUACUCUACUAUAUGCUAUAAAACCCUUCAUCAUUCUGAUUUUUAGACUCAGACUCACACACCUACGCUUACAAACACACACAGAUACAUACGAACUCCUACUUACACACUUACACAAUUUAAGUUGCUUGAUUUGCAGCACUGUCUAUCCGGCUAAAAGCCAAGGCUAGACUCUUGGAUUCCACUUGCCUUCACCUUCUUGUUUGUUAUCUCCUCAACUGGUAUGCCUCAAUUUCUGUUACCAUGCUGUAUUCUAUAUGCUAUGUAGUCCGUUCACAAUAGAUAUCAACAUGCCUCGGUUUCAUGUUUGGUUCUCUCUUAACUAGCAUGCCUCAAUUCCCGUUAACCCAUCAUGUUCUGUGUGCUAGUAUGAAUAGUUUACCUUAACAUGUUUCUGUUUGAUCCAUGAUUUCUCUGUACUUCGUUCUAGACUGAUAUGCUUCAAUUUCCUACUAUCCUGCUCUAUGUGUUCAUUUGGUUGGUUAUCUUAACUUCAGCAUGCUUCUGUUCAAUAUAUGUCUACAUGUUUGCACCUAGUGGUAAUUAAUAAACCAAAUCAACUUCAGUCAUAUGAAACCUUACUGAUUCAGUUGUAUGCCUCUAUUCAUAACAUGUUUAGAUAUUGCAAAUAUGUAUGGUCAGUUCUGUUUGUAGCUCAAGUGACCCUGCUCUUUUGUGAUUGCUUUAGUUGACACAGUAUUUAUACCAAUAUGUCUGGAUUCUGCCUGUCUAGGUAGAAUUCUAUUUCUGUUUGCUCCUGAAGAAAACUAUUUUCUAAAAACUAUCCCCUAUUCUUUAUAUGUACUAAUUUUCAAAUUUCCACUCUUAGCUACCUAGGUUCCUACCACCUCCAUUGUAUGGAUCCAAUGUGAGCAUUGCCCGGGGUCUUUGAGGCUCUUUGGGAACUUUGACACACUAGAAGCAUGGCUUAAGGUGUUAUGGAUCCUACUACCUGUGUAUAUCAGACUUUCUUGCUUGACGGCUUGGUUUCCAGGAUUGAUGUUGGUCCUGUCAAGGCUCCAUAUAGUGCAAUGAAUAGCUUUGUAUAAUUUAUUCAUACCGGUCCGUGAUAAUAAUUUCUGUAAUGAACAGAUCUGGGGUUUGCUAGUAAAAGUUGGGGGGUUUAUUCUAUAUCUUUACUUGAAACUUGGGUAGAAAACCUGCCUAUAGGUUCAUUGAUGAUUAUGUGAGGGUUACUGCUUGUUUA